Myotis lucifugus (little brown bat) is the source of this 649-nucleotide long non-coding RNA. RefSeq lists it as uncharacterized. Lineage: Eukaryota; Metazoa; Chordata; Mammalia; Chiroptera; Vespertilionidae. The transcript has 2 exons. The record is from RefSeq and is a predicted model, not a curated record.
GUGGGGAAACAGCGAGGGCAUGAGGAUUGUGAAAUAAGUGCAAAGGCUCUGAAUGCAGGGCUUGCUUUCUAGUUGGAACAUUUUGGCGAUCUCUCUCUCUCUCUCUCUCUCUGAGAUGGAGGUGGUUGUUGGGGGAAAUUUGAUGUCUGAUGUUCAGUUGGGCCCCAAAGAGAAGAUGGUGCGGGAGGAGCCUGAGUGAACCAAGGUCAUGAAUGGGAAGCCAUAUAGCCUUUACUUUACAGGAAGGGAAACGUAGAGAGAUGGUCUUUAAAAACGACUGGGAUUCUGGGGGUGAGUGGAAGCAAAUCAGAAAACCCAGCUGCUGCAGCUGAGUUGGAGAGGUUGAACUUCAUGCGUGUUGGGCUUCCCUGCCCUGUUCCCGAUGAUUUUCUCCAAAUCCAGCCCCGCUGACAGAGCACCCAGUAGAAGUCUUCCCGGACCUCGCAGUCAGAUCCUUCUCAUCCUCAUGGGACGUGUGUCCUCCGGUGACUCGCAUCUUUGGGUUGCCUGGUGAUAGCUGGAUGUUUAUCUUUCUCCCUUCAAACGGAAGCCCCUUGAGGGCAAUGACUUCCUGCCCCUUCCUUCAUGCCUAUUCGGUGCCAAAGGAUGUUUCCUUGGAAAACAUGAGUAAAUGAAGGAAUGAGUGAAA